This 459-nucleotide ribosomal RNA is filed under the name uncultured bacterium. Its description in RNAcentral is "partial 16S ribosomal RNA". It matches the Rfam family "Bacterial small subunit ribosomal RNA", at positions 338 to 795 of the family's 1533-position model. The record is from RNAcentral.
CCUACGGGUGGCAGCAGUGAGGAAUAUUGGUCAAUGGGCGCGAGCCUGAACCAGCCAAGUCGCGUGAGGGAUGACGGUCCUAUGGAUUGUAAACUUCUUUUGUCGGGGAGUAAAAUACGCCACGUGUGGCGUUUUGUGAGUACCCGAUGAAUAAGCAUCGGCUAACUCCGUGCCAGCAGCCGCGGUAAUACGGAGGAUCCGAGCGUUAUCCGGAUUUAUUGGGUUUAAAGGGAGCGCAGGCGGAAGAUAAAGUCGGCGGUAAAAUUGCGGGGCUAAACCUCUACGAGGCGUUGAAACUGGUUUUCUUGAGUGAGUGGGAAGUAUGCGGAAUGCGUGGUGUAGCGGUGAAAUGCAUAGAUAUCACGAAGAACUCCGAUUGCGAAGGCAGCAUACCGGAGCGCGACUGACGCUGAGGCACGAAAGCGUGGGGAUCGAACAGGAUUAGAUACCCUUGUAGUC